GACGAACGCUGGCGGCGUGCUUAACGCAUGCAAGUCGAACGAGAGCGUAGAGAAAGCUUGCUUUUUCUACAAUCUAGUGGCAAACGGGUGAGUAACGCGUAAACAACCUGCCCUACGGAUGGGGACAACAGCUGGAAACGGCUGCUAAUACCGAAUACGUUCCGAAAGUCGCAUGACUAUCGGAAGAAAGGAUGGCCUCUAUUUAUAAGCUAUCGCCGGAGGAGGGGUUUGCGUCUGAUUAGCUAGUUGGAGGGGUAACGGCCCACCAAGGCGACGAUCAGUAGCCGGUCUGAGAGGAUGAACGGCCACAUUGGAACUGAGACACGGUCCAGACUCCUACGGGAGGCAGCAGUGGGGAAUCUUCCGCAAUGGGCGAAAGCCUGACGGAGCAACGCCGCGUGAGUGAAGACGGCCUUCGGGUUGUAAAGCUCUGUUAUACGGGACGAAUAAUCUUGUGGUUAAUACCCAUGAGAAGUGACGGUACCGUAAGAGAAAGCCACGGCUAACUACGUG
RNAcentral lists this ribosomal RNA (513 nucleotides) under uncultured bacterium. RNAcentral's name for it is "partial 16S ribosomal RNA". It matches the Rfam family "Bacterial small subunit ribosomal RNA", at positions 28 to 507 of the family's 1533-position model. The record is from RNAcentral.